UCUUCUGCCUGGACACUGCCCACAAGGGGCAUUGUGCCAUACAGUUGGGCAUAGCCCCGAAGUUAUGUUACUUUUCUGCCAGGAACUUGCCUACAAGGAGAACAUCAGAACAUUUCUGCCUCAGCAUAUAGGUUAUAUGGCUGUCAUGCCUUUCAUUACCACAGAAAACAUAAGUGAUGUCUUAGAUCUCUUUCUGGCGAAAAGGUCACAGAAGAUUAUAACAGCCUCAGAUAAUUUGCAGCCCUUGGCUUGUACAGAGAGUGUCAGAACAGAACCCAGCAGAAAGGAGAAAUUGUGAGUCUCAUAUGUACACCCAGCUGACUGUAAGGACUGUCACCAUCUUACAUACAUGAAGCCAACUGUCACACAUGAAAAGAGGACAUGUGUGGUAUUGUAAAUCUCAUCUCGAAUAUUCUCUCAGUGUGACUGUGAUAUAAAUCUUUGCCAAGCAUCUGUGUGAUUUGACUCUCCAAACUGGUUCCAGCCCAUAUAUACGGGAUUGUGAUCUCUACCUGGGCCAACCUCUAGAUAAUGUGACUCUCCUGCCUGGGCCCUUCUCUCAGUAAGGGUUGUGACAUAUCACUGGAUCUAACACCCAAGUGAUGUUACAUUCUUGCCUGGACCAUGCACAGAGACAUCAUUGUGACAUAUCACUGUGUCCACCACUUAGGUGAUGUAACUCUCCUCUCUGGAAUGGACCCUGAAUACGGAGUGGUAGUGACAUCUUCCUAGGCCAGACACACAGGUGUUGGUACUCUUUUUCCAGGGCUAUGUUUCAAGGAGGGCAUUGUGACAUAUCUCUGGACCUAUCACCGAGGUGAUAUGAUUCAACGCUUGGGCCUCACCGACGUAGAACAUUGUGACAUAAAAGUUAAACCUGCACCAAAGGUGUUGUAACUCUUUCACCUUGGUCCUGUCCUAAGGGAGCCCUGCAACAUAUCUCAGGACCCAGCACUCAGGAACAUUGUGACAUCGUUGGACAUAGCAUCUAGGAAAUGUGACUCUUCUCUCCUGCCUAGGUCCUGCCCACUAAAGGAAUUGUGACAUACCACUGAGUGCAAAACCUAGCCCUGUCUACAGUGGACAUGGUACCACAUGACUUGAGGCUGUAUCCAGGUGAUGUGACUCUUCUGACUUGGCCCUGCCUGCAAAGGAAAUUAUAAUAUAUCCUGAGCUCAGAAUCCAGGCGAUGAGACUCUCCUGCCUCUUUUCUGCCCACAAGUGAAAUUGUGACUUAUACCUGCGUUCAGCUCACAUGCACAAAUAUAACUAUUAUACCUGGACCCAGAAAGGAGAGAUAUUUGGACUCUUAUAGCCAGUCCUAUGGCCAUAAGUAAAGUAAAGGGUCCCCUGUUUGUAUAAAGCUCACAGAGGAUUAUGACACUCAGGCACAUCAUAUAAAGCCUGAGUGGUACAAAGAGUGUCAUAGCAGGGAACAGCAACCAGGUGCGAUUGUGACUCUUGGAUGCUCACCCAGCUGACCCGAUUGUCAUUCUCUCACAAGAACAGGGCCUACAUACAAGGCCAUGACCAUAGAUGAAAUUUUGACAUACGUGGACCAUACACCUAAGCGAAGGUGCCUGGGCCUGCCUACAAAGGGCACUUUUACGUAUUACUAGGACCAGCACGCAGCUGGGUGUCAUACAUUUCGGAGAGCAUAAAGUAUACAUUCUCACAGAGACAGGAGUUCAAAAGUUGCCUGGUCCUCAGAAACAACUGGCUAGGUAAAAACUUGUGCAUGUGAUUCUGGAUAGGGGGUCAGCGCCUGUCUGUUGGUUAAGCAAUCUGUCUUUUGUUUGCCAUCUGCCUCUGUGGUGGGCUGUUUCCUGAGUCUUUACUUCCAUCUUGACUGAGGUGGUCCACUUUGCAGAGCCUUCUGCUGUUGUGCUGUUUUACCUCAGUCAGAAUUGCCUGAAUUUUUCUCUGAGCAACCUGGCAAGCAUAGAAGUGACCAGUUAUUUUGACAACCACUUGGUCAUUCUCAUCAGGUGUCUGGUCAUGAGGGACAGCAACUUCUGCACUUGACAAAUUCUGAAGUUUAUUCACCGUUUUGCCUCCUUUUCCAAUAACUCCGCCAGCAACAAAGGAUGACACUGUGAUAUAAGCUUCAAGUUUAACCUCUUCUUUAGGACUAACAAAAUUUUCUUCUUUAGUUUUUCCAUAAAUUCUUCCCUGAGCCUUGAAGUGAGCCUCUGGUGGUCCAGUGAUCAUUACCAUCCUCACUUUAGCAUCUGGUGCUUCUGCUGGAGCAAUGUUAAUUGAAGCUCCGGCAAAGCGAGAAAGCUGCUUGAUGUGCUUGGCCCUGCUUGCCGAUGAUGACACCGACUGAUAGAGCCUGGAUAAACAGAUGAACAGUCUCCGUUUCUGAUUGCUCAAACUGCGGCUUUGGCACAUGCCUCAACAUUGCCUUUAACUGUAAUGGUGCGUUCUGGAUUAUACAGCGUCAAUUCCUGAAAGCACCUUGAUGGCCUUGAGGGCCCAGCUCUCCUCUGGGCAGUCCAUGAACGCAUAGCCAGUCUUCACCAGGAAGGAUCCCAACACUGGGAUCUUGGCGUCCUUGAAGAUACUUUCUAGGUCCAAGGGGACGGCGUUCUCGUGGAGGUUUCCGAUAUACAGUUUGUUCAUUGUGAAGAAUGGUUGUUUAAAAAAAUUAACGAGAAGAACGAGAAAUUAAAACCACCCAUGGUGAUGGAUGGAUCCAGCUGGUUUUGUUGCUCUCAUCUUCUCACCUUUAAAAUACACAAACACAGAAAGAACCAAGCACAAGAACAAGGAGUGAAAAAUCAGAUCCGAGGCUUGUUUUUCCUUGUCCUAGAUAUGUUUUAAAAGAGAAAGAAAAGAAAAAGCCUAGCUACAACCCAAAUGCAUCAACCAGUCUUCCUAAGUCUCGCUUUUGAAUAAUUUUCAAAUGAGAUGUACACCUAAAUUUUAAGAGUGUUUGAGUUUGUGUUUGCUUUAGUGGUGCUUUAUAUCUGUCUGAUUGUAAGCAUAAUGUUCAUGGAAAGAGACUUUUGGUAGGAAUCAAACUGGGACUCUUACAAUGGCUUAAGUCCAUCAGAAUAGUUCUGAUGCUACUUAGGAGCAUCAGAACUCCUUUCUUUGCCUGAUUUUUCAACUUAUUUCUUAAUUGGAACCCCAUAAAGAACAUGAAUGGUCUUCUGAUAUCCUUAAUGUCUUAGAGUUAUAUCAAUAUUUUGCU
Molecule: long non-coding RNA, 3199 nt
Filed under: Homo sapiens (human)
Lineage: Eukaryota; Metazoa; Chordata; Mammalia; Primates; Hominidae
Description: HSALNT0340953
Source: RNAcentral